GCUAAACGCGAAGAACCUUACCAAGGCUUGACAUGUACAGGAAAGUUCCAGAGAUGGUUCCCCCGCAAGGUCUGUAUACAGGUGCUGCAUGGCUGUCGUCAGCUCGUGUCGUGAGAUGUUGGGUUAAGUCCCGCAACGAGCGCAACCCUUAUCGUAUGUUGCCAGCAUUUAGUUGGGCACUCAUGCGAGACUGCCGGUGAUAAGCCGGAGGAAGGCGGGGACGACGUCAAGUCAUCAUGGCCCUUACGUGUAGGGCUAGAAACGUGCUACAAUGGUGGUCACAAUGGGCAGCGAAGUCGUGAGGCUAAGCUAAUCCCAAAAAGCCAUCUCAGUUCAGAUUGUAGUCUGCAACUCGACUACAUGAAGUUGGAAUCGCUAGUAAUCGCAAAUCAGCAUGUUGCGGUGAAUACGUUCCCGGGUCUUGUACACACCG
Molecule: ribosomal RNA, 433 nt
Filed under: uncultured bacterium
Lineage: Bacteria
Description: bacterial SSU rRNA
Rfam family: Bacterial small subunit ribosomal RNA
Source: RNAcentral